RNAcentral lists this ribosomal RNA (465 nucleotides) under uncultured Klebsiella sp. RNAcentral describes it as "bacterial SSU rRNA". It matches the Rfam family "Bacterial small subunit ribosomal RNA", at positions 338 to 795 of the family's 1533-position model. The record is from RNAcentral. Lineage: Bacteria; Pseudomonadati; Pseudomonadota; Gammaproteobacteria; Enterobacterales; Enterobacteriaceae.
CCUACGGGAGGCAGCAGUGGGGAAUAUUGCACAACGGGCGCAAGCCUGAUGCAGCCAUGCCGCGUGUGUGAAGAAGGCCUUCGGGUUGUAAAGCACUUUCAGCGGGGAGGAAGGCGUUAAGGUUAAUAACCUUGGCGAUUGACGUUACCCGCAGAAGAAGCACCGGCUAACUCCGUGCCAGCAGCCGCGGUAAUACGGAGGGUGCAAGCGUUAAUCGGAAUUACUGGGCGUAAAGCGCACGCAGGCGGUCUGUCAAGUCGGAUGUGAAAUCCCCGGGCUCAACCUGGGAACUGCAUUCGAAACUGGCAGGCUAGAGUCUUGUAGAGGGGGGUAGAAUUCCAGGUGUAGCGGUGAAAUGCGUAGAGAUCUGGAGGAAUACCGGUGGCGAAGGCGGCCCCCUGGACAAAGACUGACGCUCAGGUGCGAAAGCGUGGGGAGCAAACAGGAUUAGAUACCCGGGUAGUC